GCCCAGCUAGCUCAGUUGGUAGAGCAUGGGACUCUUAAUUCCAGGGUCGUAGGUUCGUGCCCCAUGUUGGGCG
This 73-nucleotide transfer RNA is filed under the name Cricetulus griseus (Chinese hamster). It matches the Rfam family "tRNA". Rfam says of the family: Transfer RNA (tRNA) molecules are approximately 80 nucleotides in length. Their secondary structure includes four short double-helical elements and three loops (D, anti-codon, and T loops). Lineage: Eukaryota; Metazoa; Chordata; Mammalia; Rodentia; Cricetidae. The record is from Rfam by way of RNAcentral.